RNAcentral lists this ribosomal RNA (679 nucleotides) under uncultured bacterium. RNAcentral describes it as "bacterial SSU rRNA". It matches the Rfam family "Bacterial small subunit ribosomal RNA", at positions 56 to 709 of the family's 1533-position model. The record is from RNAcentral.
UGCAAGUCGAACGGUAACAGGCCGCUGUGAUCCCUUCGGGGAGAACUUGGCGCUGACGAGUGGCGGACGGGUGAGUAAUGCUUAGGAAUCUACCCAGUAGUGGGGGACAACCCGAGGAAACUCGGGCUAAUACCGCAUACGCCCUACGGGGGAAAGCAGGGGAUCUUCGGACCUUGCACUAUUGGAUGAGCCUAAGUCGGAUUAGCUUGUUGGUGAGGUAAAGGCUCACCAAGGCGACGAUCCGUAGCUGGUCUGAGAGGACGAUCAGCCACACUGGGACUGAGACACGGCCCAGACUCCUACGGGAGGCAGCAGUGGGGAAUAUUGGACAAUGGGGGCAACCCUGAUCCAGCAAUGCCGCGUGUGUGAAGAAGGCCUGCGGGUUGUAAAGCACUUUCAGUAGAGAAGAAAAGCCUACGGUUAAUACCCGUGAGUCUUGACGUUACCUACAGAAGAAGCUCCGGCUAACUCCGUGCCAGCAGCCGCGGUAAUACGGAGGGAGCGAGCGUUAAUCGGAAUUACUGGGCGUAAAGCGCGCGUAGGCGGCUUUGUAAGUCGGAUGUGAAAGCCCUGGGCUCAACCUGGGAAUGGCAUUCGAUACUGCAGAGCUAGAGUAUGGUAGAGGGAAGUGGAAAUUUCCGGUGUAGCGGUGAAAUGCGUAGAUAUCGGAAAGGAACAC